This 309-nucleotide long non-coding RNA is filed under the name Durio zibethinus. RNAcentral's name for it is "long non-coding RNA (DZIB_LNC001221)". Lineage: Eukaryota; Viridiplantae; Streptophyta; Magnoliopsida; Malvales; Malvaceae. The record is from RNAcentral.
UUUAUUUUUAUUUUUUAUUUCUUUCUUUAUUUAAAUUUUCAUAAAUUUUUAGAAUGUUUUGGAUUUUUUAUUUUUCAUAAAUCUUUUGUCUUUUCAUUUUUAUUCUUUUCUUAAAUUUUUUCACAAAUUUCUUUUUAUUUCUUAUUUUCAUUUUCAAAUUCUCAUAGUUUCUUUUGUUGCAUUUUCUUCUUUGGUUUUCAUUUUUAUUUUGAAUUAACUUUUCUCCCUUUUAAUUUUUUGUCUUUGAUUUUUUAUAUUGUUUUCUUAUUAUUUCUUAUAUGUUUUUCAAUUUUUUGUAUUUUUUAAAAU